UACGUAGGGUCCAAGCGUUAUCCGGAAUCACUGGGCGUAAAGCGUGCGUAGGUGGGUGUUUAAGUGAGAGGUUAAAUCGUGUGGCUCAACCAUAUCGAUGCUUUUCAUACUGGGCACCUAGAGGACAGCAGAGGCAAGUGGAAUUGGUAGUGUAGCAGUGAAAUGCGUAGAUAUUACCAGGAACACCAAUGGCGAAGGCAGCUUGCUGGGCUACUCCUGACACUGAGGUACGAAAGCGUGGGGAGCGAACAGG
Molecule: ribosomal RNA, 253 nt
Filed under: uncultured bacterium
Lineage: Bacteria
Description: partial 16S ribosomal RNA
Rfam family: Bacterial small subunit ribosomal RNA
Source: RNAcentral